GACGAACGCUGGCGGCGUGCUUAACACAUGCCAGUCGAGCGGUAAGGCCUCUUCGGGGGUACACGAGCGGCGAACGGGUGAGUAACACGUGGGUGACCUGCCCUCAGCUCUGGGAUAAGCCUGGGAAACUGGGUCUAAUACCGGAUAUGACCUUUCCUCGCAUGGGGUUUGGUGGAAAGUUUUUUCGGCUGGGGAUGGGCCCGCGGCCUAUCAGCUUGUUGGUGGGGUGAUGGCCUACCAAGGCGACGACGGGUAGCCGGCCUGAGAGGGCGACCGGCCACACUGGGACUGAGACACGGCCCAGACUCCUACGGGAGGCAGCAGUGGGGAAUAUUGCGCAAUGGGCGGAAGCCUGACGCAGCGACGCCGCGUGGGGGAUGACGGCCCUCGGGUUGUAAACCUCUUUCGACCCCGACGAAUUUGGACGGUAGGGGUAGAAGAAGCACCGGCCAACUACGUG
RNAcentral lists this ribosomal RNA (460 nucleotides) under uncultured bacterium. Its description in RNAcentral is "partial 16S ribosomal RNA". It matches the Rfam family "Bacterial small subunit ribosomal RNA", at positions 28 to 507 of the family's 1533-position model. The record is from RNAcentral.